GGAGAAGUUUGUUGUUUUUUU
This 21-nucleotide small RNA is filed under the name Arabidopsis thaliana (thale cress). RNAcentral's name for it is "ATSL052930". The record is from RNAcentral. Lineage: Eukaryota; Viridiplantae; Streptophyta; Magnoliopsida; Brassicales; Brassicaceae.